This 73-nucleotide transfer RNA is filed under the name Mycobacteroides abscessus subsp. abscessus. Its description in RNAcentral is "tRNA-Val". It matches the Rfam family "tRNA". Rfam says of the family: Transfer RNA (tRNA) molecules are approximately 80 nucleotides in length. Their secondary structure includes four short double-helical elements and three loops (D, anti-codon, and T loops). Further hydrogen bonds mediate the characteristic L-shaped molecular structure. tRNAs have two regions of fundamental functional importance: the anti-codon, which is responsible for specific mRNA codon recognition, and the 3' end, to which the tRNAs corresponding amino acid is attached (by aminoacyl-tRNA synthetases). tRNAs cope with the degeneracy of the genetic code in two manners: having more than one tRNA (with a specific anti-codon) for a particular amino acid; and 'wobble' base-pairing, i.e. permitting non-standard base-pairing at the 3rd anti-codon position. Lineage: Bacteria; Bacillati; Actinomycetota; Actinomycetes; Mycobacteriales; Mycobacteriaceae. The record is from RNAcentral.
GCCGCGUUAGCUCAAUGGGAGAGCAGUCGGUUUACACCCGGCGUACGGGAGUUCGAUUUUCUCUCACACGGUA